ACACUCCUGCGGGAGGCAGCAGUGGGGAAUAUUGGACAAUGGGCGCAAGCCUGAUCCAGCCAUGCCGCGUGAGUGAUGAAGGCCCUAGGGUUGUAAAGCUCUUUCACCGGUGAAGAUGAUGACGGUAACCGGAGAAGAAGCCCCGGCUAACUUCGUGCCAGCAGCCGCGGUAAUACGAAGGGGGCUAGCGUUGUUCGGAUUUACUGGGCGUAAAGCGCACGUAGGCGGACUAUUAAGUCAGGGGUGAAAUCCCGGGGCUCAACCCCGGAACUGCCUUUGAUACUGGUAGUCUUGAGUUCGAGAGAGGUGAGUGGAAUUCCGAGUGUAGAGGUGAAAUUCGUAGAUAUUCGGAGGAACACCAGUGGCGAAGGCGGCUCACUGGCUCGAUACUGACGCUGAGGUGCGAAAGCGUGGGGAGCAAACAGGAUUAGAAACCCGAGUAGUCCCAUG
This 450-nucleotide ribosomal RNA is filed under the name uncultured organism. RNAcentral describes it as "partial 16S ribosomal RNA". It matches the Rfam family "Bacterial small subunit ribosomal RNA", at positions 333 to 799 of the family's 1533-position model. The record is from RNAcentral.